CUUUGAACUCACUGCUCCUGCGCUCUAGAGUGUCCCUCCCUCCCCCACUUCCUCUUCAAGACCCAGUUCAGCCUUCCCCUGACCUGCCCCAGGGGACCGGGCUGGCUUUCUUCUGUGCCACAGGCUCUGGGAAAUGCCUCGUGGCCCUCACCACGUGGGUUGAGAUGGUUCCUGGGUGCCUGGCUCCAUCUCCCUACACUGUGAGCUCCCUGUGGCUGCCUUAGCUACCUUCCUCAAAUAACAAGAGCUUGUGGCCUAGUGCUUCCAGACUGAUAACCCAGGAAAUGAUCGUCGCUUUGCAAGCAGAGUCCUGAUGCACUUGCGGGCGGAUGAAGCCUCAGGCGGGAAGCGUUCAGCUCCGCACCUCCUGGCCCCCUAAAGACCCAGCCUCAAGAACAGGGCUGGGGACCACGUCCUUCUCAGCCAACUCUCUUCAUCUUUCCCAUGCCUCAUCCAACGCCAGCGUCUGUUUCUUGACAAAGACUUUGAAAUCAUGCUGAUGCUGAUCAAAGUUGAUCAAAGUGGACAGAUAAAAUAAAAGCUGGAAGACUAUCAAGUAUCUCGUGGGCAAGGCCUAAGUUAAAAAGAAAAAAUAACUUAGUGGAGAAGAGGCUCUACUUCCAGAAAAGACUCUGCACAACGGCUUUACAUGCAGCCUGGGAAGUUAGGGUCGGCCGGCUGAGACCCUGGGGUCCAUCUGACCCUCAGCGUGUUCGGGCAUGUGAAACACCUUCCCAGGUGCGUGAGAAACAACGUCUUGGCAGAGAUGCAAGGGGCAGGCUGGCCUGGGGAACACGCUUGAACUGGGAUGAGAAAGAGUAGGAAUGCAGUAGGCCGGGAGUGACCAGAUGCCCGUGACAAGCACAGAAAGGAGAGCAAACAUGGACCAAAAGCAAAAGACGGAAAUGUGAAUACGCCAAAUGAAAAACAAAAUUAAACGUUGCUUUCUCGCAUGUUUGAUUUCGAAGAGCAUUGUUGUGGCACUGUCUCCUAACCCCCGGCCCAAUCCCACCAUCUCCCUCUCCCAGGGCGACAAGAGAAGACUGAGCAGCAGGGUGCAGCCCCGGCUCGGCCGGUGAUCCCUGAGGCUCUGGCACAAUCUACAGAGCCAGAGGGUUCCUGGCACUCCCUUUAUCAGCCAACAUCUGGCUCUUACCUGAAUUUUAUUUUCUGUAAUAAUCCAGACACUUUGGUUUAUCGGUCGUGCCCUUUUAUAAGGAGCCUUAUCAAAGUCAACCAAAUAUAAACCAGAACGACUAAAAAUCCAAGAACUGGCUGGGCGCAGGGACUCACAUCUGUAAUCCCAACACUUUGGGAGGCUGAGGCGGGGGAUCACUUGAGACCAGGAGUUCGAGACCGUCCUGUCCGUCAUGGUGAAACUCCGUCUCUACUAAAAAUACAAAAAUUAGCUGGACAUGGUGGCACACGCCUGUGAUGCCAGCUACUCAGGAGACUGAGGCAGGAGAAUCACUUGAAUUCUGGAGGCAGAGGUUGCAGUGAGCCAAGAUGGCAUCAUUGCACUCCGGCCUAGGCAACA
This 1537-nucleotide long non-coding RNA is filed under the name Homo sapiens (human). Its description in RNAcentral is "HSALNT0273986". Lineage: Eukaryota; Metazoa; Chordata; Mammalia; Primates; Hominidae. The record is from RNAcentral.